UUUACUCUGUAAAAAUGGCAGACUUCAUACCAAGAUUUAAAAUGGGUGUUAUAUAUGUCACACACACGCAGGACACGAUGGCAGUGAUGGACGGUGGGGAGAAUAUUUAAAGCAUUGUAGGACUGGCCUCUCUACCUCUGCUUUUAGAACCCAUGUGUAAUUUGCUGUUUUUUUCAGUUCCAGUUAUAGAUUUCAUACUCUGCCUUAUUAUUUUGAUAGUACCAGUCAGGGAUAAUUUUUAUCUCCUGGGUUGAUGGUAAUUGAGCUGUGGUUUCAGAGCUUUGCUCACAAAGGGAUAUUACAAGAUCAUGUAGGUUCAGAACCAUAUUGACUUCCAAGGUGUUUUAUGUAUGAUCGCAUAAAGGGUAUUUUCUGUAAGACAUUUUUUUUUUUUUUGAAAUUUGUUUCUUUUCCUGCUUUAGUCUGUGGAUUGAUGUGCAACUCUUAAGACUGUAUCCCUCAUUAAGGACAAUUACUCUUUGUCUCUUGGGGGAAACUGCAGCCAGACCGGCGUUUUGUCAUUAUACAUGUGUGUGUGUGCACACACAUGCAUACACAGUUGCCUAUCGUUUACAUUGUGUAAGUGGCUGGAGUGGAUAUAUAUACCUAAACUACUUCAAAUUAAUUGAAUGAUAAACCUAUUAGGGUAGUUUAAAGAUUCAGUAAAACUUAACCUCGUUUUUUAGGUUCUUGUAGUUAUACAUAUGCUAACAUAAUUUUUACAUUUCUUUAUUCUCACAUUCUUAAAGUAUUCAGGAAUCUUAACAGUCUGUCCCUACAUACAUUUUCAUGAGUCUCAUUUUUUAUGUGCCAUACAUUAAUAGUAACUUGCAAAGGAAAUUAACAAGUUUUCCAGCUUCCAGACAAUUCCUGACUUGCUUUGUGUGUAAAUUGUGUUUUACACUGAGUCCAGAUGUGAGUAGUACAGGGCACUUCUUUGACUUUUCCUCUGAGUGCACUUUUCACCAGCGUCUGAAGUUCGUAUUGAUGGCAGUUUGUGAUGCCACCCGACAGUGGGACACAUAGGCCACUUGUUAACCUGACUCCACACUAGAUGCAGUAAUUUCUUCUUCUUCUUCUUUUUUAUUUAUUUAUUUAUUUUUUAAAUCUAGAGGUUUCAUUUUUUUAAAAGAUUUUAUUUAUUCAUAGACACACAGAGAGAGGCAGGCUCCAUGCAGGGAGGAGCCUGAUGUGGGACUUGAUCCCGGGACUCCAGGAUCACACCCUGGGCUGAAGGCAGGCACUAAACUGCUGAGCCACCCAGGGAUCCUUCUUCUUUAUUUAAGAGAAAAUAAAUGCUGUCUCUCUCUCUUAAGUAACAACCAGGGUAGAGGGGCAGAGGGAAAGGGAGAAGCAGACUCCCUGCUGAACAGGGACCCUGACACGGGACUUGAUCCUAGGACCCUGAGAUCACCACAUGAACCGAAGACAGAUGCUCAACCACUGAGCCACCCAGGUGCCCCCCUUUAGGAUGAAUCAUCAGAUGACUGACUUAAGUCCUUUGACCACUGCCAAGUCAGUACUACAGAGUUAAGAAAAAACAACAACAACACAAAAACAAGUGCCUGGUAAUUAUAUCAAAAACAUCAGAAAUACUGUCUUAUCAGAGGACUCAGGGCUUUUGUUGGAGUGAGGAAAAAAAUAUGGGAUGAAGCCUGACUUUCCUUGAAAACCACAGCACACCAUGCAGCAAGGUUGGCUCAGCCUCCUGGGAAGUAUCCUGCAACACUGUCUCUUGGCACUGGCUUGAGUCAAUUGGGAUGAAAUUACCCAGUUAUCACAAUGUGUGGCUUAAGGGGAGGUGAUUGGCUCUGUAAAACCACCUGCCACGUGGUGAGACAAGACUGACAGUAGAAUCUGCCAGGGAUACAAUUUACCUCAAGAGCAGAAAGGCUCCUGGGUCAAAGCCCGGGAUCUUGUUUUCCUGAGAUAGCUUCAGAGGGUUUGGACCAUGACCUCGAAGCCAGCUGGAUUUGGAGAGUCAAUGGGUGGCUCUCCAUGAACCUAUUUCUCAUUAGUAGGGGAUCUACUUGUCUUUGAUCAGAGUUGGAAUAAAUCUUGUUUUGUCUCACCUAGUCCACUGGUGUUGGUGUGAUUGUCUUUUUCCUCUUAAUCAUCUUCUAAAAUUAUUCCCUUGUCUGUUGCCUCUGCAGGAGGUAUUUCCUUAUUGGAGUGUCUGCAUGGUUAAGUCAGACUCAGCUUUUCACACGUAGGACCCAUGCCCUAAAGUGUCACUGUCAUUUUGCCUGUGGAGUUGCUUUAUUAAAUGCACUAAGGGCACAUGGGCAGUGGAAGAGAUUGGGCCUUUUCAGUUGGUGCUGGGAUGUGGAGUGUUUGCGGAGCGAGCCAUCUCUCAGCGUGGGAAGGACCACUCAAGAAAAGUGAGCUCCUGAACUUCCCAGGAGCUGUAUUUGUUUUUUAUUCUUCCUGUUGACCAUCCAUCUUUCUUUCUGAGGCUGUGUGUCUCUGAGUGCCCUUCUCAGGGACUUUCCUCUCUUUCCAAGUGAUUCACCCAGAGGUCAUUCUUCAGCCUCAGCCAUUCCCAGACACAGCCCCACCUGCCCAGAAGUGAGCUUUUCCACAAAGGCCCCUGGAUCCUAUAAAUAGCUGUCAGAUGCCCUCGUUCAGAUUGUGUGAACUCUCCUCAUGAGUCUCUGGUUUUCUAGCCUCCAGAGCUGGUAAAGUCAGCUGGAGCAGGAUGGUUGGUGGCUGCGAGGGGCACAUGCAGGUUCCGGACUUGUUAAAUGAAAAAAUGCCUUUCUUUACUAGGUGGGCUCCUUGUCUUUUUUUCAUCUCUCUUUUUCUCAUUUCUUUUAUCUUGCAUUUCUCUCCUUUCUCUUCUCUGACCACUUGAGAGGUAACAGUGCCACUCACGGCCGUUGCUAGGGUGGAGGCUGGAGGCACCCUGAGAGAAGAGUUUGAUUUCUGGGGCAGGAUGCUGCCUGUGGAGAGUCAGGAUUAUGCACUGGCACCUAAAUUCAGUCUGAAGCUGGGAGGAGAGUGUUGCCCUGGGGACCUCCUUUCCUCCUCUGCCCCCAGGCACAGGUCCCAUCCUGUCUGCUUCUGUGCCGCAAUUUUAUCUAAUGGAGAAUUUGCAUUUUAUGGUGAUUCUAAUAAACUUGCUUUAGCAGAUAAACCUGAUGGUUCUUAUUUUGGUGUGAUUUAAUUCCUUUCCCUAAACUGGGGUAUCUCAUUCCUCAGAAUUCCAUUGAAUUACAGUGGCUCCAGCUUCAUAUAAUUUCCUCUUGAGAUUUUAUUUCUAAACUGUAAUUUACAUUGAGGCUGAAUCUCACUGAGAUGUGAAUCCCCAGUACCCAGCACACAGUCAGUGCUUACUAAAUGUUUGCUGAAUGAACGAGGUGAAUGCUGCAUCCUCAUAUCCAGUGGCAGGAGGCUGCCGUGAAGUGGUAACUCUUAAGUCAGCAAACAUGGGCUAGAGGCAUUCUUAGGGUAUAGCAUCCUCUCCGGGAGAAAAUCUUGGGGUGAGGGGAGGGGAGAGGAGGAAGAGAGCCCACGUGUUCCUGCAGUUGGGGUGUGCUUGUGUGCUGGCGGAGUGUGGCCACAGGCAGCCACGGAGGCAGCCGUGUUCCUGGUGCUGAUCUCAGGUUGGUUUGCUCCCCGCUGUUGACCGCUAGGAACUAGCUCAUCCUCAGGACCCAGGGUCCUCGCGCCUGGACUAGUCCUCCUUUGGCAUCCCUGUGUCCAGACUGCACUCACUGCGAGUCCUCAUCGGUAUCUGCUGGAUGGUUUCUGGGCUUGACCAGUCACAGUGGAGGGUGAAGGGACAUCUUUUAUCAGGUUUCCCUUGAGAUUUAAUAUCUAUUCGCCUCUGAUGUUUUCAACUUUGAUGAGUUGAUUUCUUGCUGAGUGCGUUGUGGAAAGGUUACAUUGGGGAAAGUGCAUGGGUAAGAUUUUCUCUUGGGAUUGUUUUUAUAGGUGAGCUUUCCAUAAGCCUGGUAAGGGUGUUUCUUCCCUUUUCCAUACUUCACUUCCAUUUCUGGGACUCUGCCCCCAAGCCCUUUAAGGCUUUAUUUACAUGAAUCUGAAAGGCCGCAGGGCCUUUUAAAAUUAUACACAAAAUAUGAGGCCAACCCAGUUCUUCAUAAAUAGGUCAACAUGUUUCUACAAAGUAAGGGAUUCAGAAAUACUCUAUCCCUUAAAGAUAGGGUAUCAGUGUUCAAACUUAGUGGUUGGGGGACAGGGCUCAGGAUUGUAGCACUAGAGGAUGCUGAUUUCAGGAACCUACCUUGGAUGAACUGCCAGGUGCCACAGACAUUGUUGAGGGUGCGGCUACUGGGGGCCAGGUGUGGUGUGAGAGAGAAAGCCAGGUGCAGACCUGUAAGGAGCUCCAGGUCCUUGAGAAGCAGCUGGGUGCUGAGUGUGUGCUGUGAGGAGCCACUGGCAGGAGGCAGCCUUCUGCCCUAGGAGGGUAACAGAGACCUUUUUUUUUUUUCCAGUCAGAUGAGUACUCUUGCUUUACGUAAUUACCAAACAUUCAUUUCUUGCUUAUAGAGAAUGAGUUAAAUCUCUCCUGUAAGUUCUUUUUAUUGAUGAUCGUGCUUUUUGCCUACGUAUCAGAAUCUACUACUAAUUGUGUGAUGCUGGAAAGCAUAGCAAAUCAGGAAAGGAAAAACUAUGGAGGUAUUUGCAAGAUGGUUCUUCACAUUUAUCUGAGAGUAGAUAUCCUUCAGUAAUAGUAAUUAUGUUUGGCAAGAUCCUUGGAGAAGUUUCUAGGACUCUCUUAGGUUUGUAAAAUUGGAAUGAACCCUGAAUAGCUGUGAAAACUGGCUCUGUACAGGUGUAAACACUGACAGCAUCGCACCCAAGCAUGCCAUCCCGAGUCAGUGAGAUGCUUCAUCACUGAUUUCAUGGGCUUGAUCGUCCAUGAAGAGUGCCAUGUGUUUAAUUCAUGACCAAGUUUUCUGUACUGUUAACAUAGCCUAAUGUAAGACAUUCGCUUUAAGUUUACAUAAAGCCCCCUGAAUAGGGAAAUCCUACAUAGGU
Molecule: long non-coding RNA, 5004 nt
Filed under: Canis lupus familiaris (dog)
Lineage: Eukaryota; Metazoa; Chordata; Mammalia; Carnivora; Canidae
Description: lncRNA (ENSCAFG00000056696.1)
Source: RNAcentral